This is a long non-coding RNA of Macrobrachium nipponense, 636 nucleotides long. RefSeq lists it as uncharacterized. NCBI's taxonomy places the organism in Eukaryota, Metazoa, Arthropoda, Malacostraca, Decapoda, Palaemonidae. The transcript has 4 exons. The record is from RefSeq and is a predicted model, not a curated record.
AUUCUCUAAGCCUUUUUCUUAAAAGUGACGACUAACGAGUUGUAUUUCCACUGAACACUGAUUUUGUUUCGUCAGUUAUGUGGUUGUCUAUAUUCUGUAAUGAGGCGAGUAAAGUGAAACCGCUAAUAAAUGUAUUUAAACUGUAUAUGGGCAACCGGUUAUCUUUGAUCCUACGAUGGAGGUUUCGUGGUUAGUGAAACUGUAAUGGAAGUGACAUUUGUAUGUUGGGGCAACAAAGCAUUACGUUGAUGCUGGCCUCCUGUACGCAUUUGACAAUGCGUACUGCUGUAUGACGUGCAUAGUCAAACUACCAGCUUUCAAACGUUAACUAAUGGCUAUUGGUGUUAAGUUUUAGUAUAAGUUUCGUAUAUAUGCCAGAUUAGUCCACGGAAGAAUUUCCACGCUAGUAAGUGACUCCAGAGAAUACCGGCUGCUAUGCUAGUUAACAAUGAAGUGGACUACAUCGUUUAGUUAUUGAUUUACGGAAAUGUAACAGCCUGGUGUUGUAAUCUACAGAUUUGUUGUGUCAGUUUCUCAAGAGUAGCUUGGGUGGUUUUGAAUCCGGAUUCUUCGUAACUACUAUAUGGAAGUUUAAGCUAUGAAUGUCAACUCUGUUCCAAGAAAAUUCAGAUUAAG